RNAcentral lists this ribosomal RNA (477 nucleotides) under uncultured bacterium. RNAcentral describes it as "partial 16S ribosomal RNA". It matches the Rfam family "Bacterial small subunit ribosomal RNA", at positions 28 to 507 of the family's 1533-position model. The record is from RNAcentral.
GAUUAACGCUGGCGGCGUGCCUAACACAUGCAGGUCGAACGAUGAAACUUUAAUGACCCCUUCGGGGAGAAUUAAAGCGGAUUAGUGGCGAACGGGUGAGUAACGCGUGAGUAACCUGCCUUACACAAGGGGAUAGCCUUUGGAAACGAAGAAUAAUACCCUAUAAAACCGUAAAAGCACAUGCAAUUAUGGUCAAAGUGAUAGCGGUGUAAGAUGGACUUGCGUCUGAUUAGCUAGUUGGUGAGAUAAAAGCCCACCAAGGCAACGAUCAGUAGCCGGCUUGAGAGAGUGUACGGCCACAUUGGGACUGAGACACGGCCCAGACUCCUACGGGAGGCAGCAGUGGGGAAUUUUGCACAAUGGGGGAAACCCUGAUGCAGCGACGCCGCGUGAUUUAGAAGGCCUUCGGGUUGUAAAAAUCUUUUGUAUAGGAAGAAAAUGACAGUACUAUACGAAUAAGGUCCGGCUAAUUACGUG